This 202-nucleotide long non-coding RNA is filed under the name Trifolium pratense (red clover). Its description in RNAcentral is "long non-coding RNA (TPRA_LNC004295)". The record is from RNAcentral. Lineage: Eukaryota; Viridiplantae; Streptophyta; Magnoliopsida; Fabales; Fabaceae.
UAAUAUUAAACUUGAAAAAAAAAAACAUGGAAAGAAGAAAAUAGAACAACGAAAAAGUUGAAGGAAAUGAGAGUGAAAUCACCCAAAAAAAGAAUAGAGAUAAAAGAUUGCAAAAAGUAUAAUUUUGAAUUGCAAUAGUGUGUGAAAUCGGUUGCAAAUCACAGCUAUUUAUAUUAAUAGAAUGAAGAUCGAAAUUAUAAAU